GACGAACGCUGGCGGCGUGCUUAACACAUGCAAGUCGAACGGAAAGGCCCUGCUUUUGUGGGGUGCUCGAGUGGCGAAAGGGUGAGUAACACGUGAGUAACCUGCCCUUGACUUUGGGAUAACUUCAGGAAACUGGGGCUAAUACCGGAUAGGAGCUCCUGCUGCAUGGUGGGGGUUGGAAAGUUUCGGCGGUUGGGGAUGGACUCGCGGCUUAUCAGCUUGUUGGUGGGGUAGUGGCUUACCAAGGCUUUGACGGGUAGCCGGCCUGAGAGGGUGACCGGCCACAUUGGGCCUGAGGUACCGCCCAGACUCCUACGGGAGGCAGCAGUGGGGAAUAUUGCACAAUGGGCGGAAGCCUGAUGCAGCAACGCCGCGUGCGGGAUGACGGCCUUCGGGUUGUAAACCGCUUUCGCCUGUGACGAAGCGUGAGUGACGGUAAUGGGUAAAGAAGCACCGGCUAACUACGUG
Molecule: ribosomal RNA, 468 nt
Filed under: uncultured bacterium
Lineage: Bacteria
Description: partial 16S ribosomal RNA
Rfam family: Bacterial small subunit ribosomal RNA
Source: RNAcentral